Molecule: long non-coding RNA, 3225 nt
Organism: Cucurbita maxima (winter squash)
Lineage: Eukaryota; Viridiplantae; Streptophyta; Magnoliopsida; Cucurbitales; Cucurbitaceae
Exons: 3
Source: RefSeq, a predicted model, not a curated record
UUAAUUUUGUCGGCCUUCGGAAAGGAGCAUCGCGAAGGGGAAAGGGAAUGUGCCUCUUCCGAAAUGACCGAUCAUUCUUAGAGGAUCGGAGACGAGAACUCUGCAAGGCAAAAACAGUUCUCGAUUAUCGCCAUUUUUAUGGACAAAUUGCAUAGGAACACAGAGAUAGCAGCAUCGGAUCCUAAAUUAAAAUGGAGAAAAAGACGAGGACGAUGUAAAAUCUGAAGCAGGAGACGAAUCGAGCGCACGAUUGGAAAUCUGGAACUUCGCUCGAUAAGGAGAAGACAGAUCAGUAGUGUGCAUGCGGAAGUGACGGCGGAGGAGACAGCGGAGGCCGGCAAGGCGGGGCGGAGAUCAGAAGAGAUUUCGAUAUGACUUUCAAGCUAUGUGAAGAAUAUCUCAUCCAAUUCCCUCAAGGGAUUUCCAGUUCAAUUCCUACAGUAGAAGUUGGAUAAGUUGCUGUCAUGGUGAUGGAAAAUAGCUGAGAAAUGGAUUUCACCAACAGCAGAGGAUGAAAUGGAAGAAGAAGAAGAAGAAGAAGAAGAAGAAGAAGAAGAAGAAGAAGAAGGGAAUCCUGAUGAUGCUGCAGCAGAGAAGAAUGGCACAGAGGUUAAUCUAUUUGAGUGGCCAUGGAUUUGCCACUCCCCCAUUCUCGUCUCUGCUGCUCUUUCCUGCAUUCGCAAUGUUAAUUCACAGGCAAAAGUCAGAACAUCAAAUAUGAUAUAUCUACUAACUACAUGAGGAGCUGAAUGCAAACACAAGAAAUAUAUGUACGGAUUAUAUGAAGUUUGGUUUUCAAAUGGUUCAUUACCCUGGAGAUGGGAAAGAAACAGGAAUUUGAAGGCACAGCAUAGCCAUAUGGCUGAGAAGAUUCAAUUGCUGCUGAAACAGAGUUUUCAAGCUGUUUGUGAUUGAGCAAGAUGUUAGCCAAGCAUUAACAAUAAAACAAAAGAUCUCCAGAACUCAGUCUCGAGAAUUACCGUCGUUCUACCAUCAACGACGACGUCGGGUGAGCUGAGAUGACAACCAUUACCAAACAUGCCAAUGCUCUCACUUUGAGGGUCAGAAUGAUUGGGGGGAGCAAUUCGCAAACUCAGGUCAAGACUCUGGUUGUCCUCUACAAAUCAAGACGGUUUUCGAAACCAAUUGUUAUGUUAUGUAUAACCUGAUCGAGCAAAGGGGGUUGUUAAGAACUAGAAUGAGAAAAUGUAUAAACAGGGAAGAACCAAACCUCCUGUGUCAAUCUCUGCAGCCAUCUCUGACAUAUAAGAACUUGGAUCAAAGUUUGUAACAGCCUCUUUACCAUUGCAUCUUAAGGCAGCUAUGUCAUAGGCCCUGAUUGAACAACAGUAAACAAUCAAGUUAAAGGGAGUGACCCGACUAUAAAAGCUUCUUGCGAGGAAGCCCUCCGUGACACUAGCCUUAAGCUAACGCAGACAUUAGAAAGUUUGAAAGAUUUAAGAAGACCUUGCAGCUUCAAUCUCACUAUCAAAGAGACCAAGAUACAUGUACCUGUAAGGAAGAAAAAUGCCAACAAAAACAGCUCGAUUCAAGACAAAAUCCCAGUAACAUGAUCCAAGAAACACACAGAAAACGAAGUCCCAGAAUAAUUUAGACUCACUUCCUGCCUAAGAACUGGCCCAUCCGAGCUUCCCAUCGACCACAUUUAUGCAAGGUAACUCCUCUGUACUUCGAGCUUCCUCUUGUAAAUCCAUUGCUACGGCGACGAAGAUUAUGAAUAAGCUCUUCCUUAGUGAUAUUACUCAUCUGGGGUGUUAAUGGCAGAAUCAGAGAGAAGCUCUUCGUCAAUGGCGUAAUUUGAAUUUCUGACAGUAACAAGCAUUAUCUUAGACUACCUCACCUGUUUGAUAUCUUCUUCAUAAUUUCUGACACUGAAAUUGAUAUCUGCGUCGACCCCCCGAAACUUGAUCGCCGCUUUAUCAUAUGCUCUGAGAUGGAAAAUAUGAAUUCUAAGAGAAAUCCAACCAAAAAUGGCGGAAAGAACAAGAGAAGUGGUUUUUUUUUUGUUACCUGGCGGCAGCAUGAGCAGUAUCGAAACCGCCUGAAGGAAAAGAGAAACAGCCAUAGAGAAAAUGAUGAAUCGAAGUUCGAGAAAAGAAAAGAAAAGAAAAGGAAUCAAACAGCAAUGGCCGUACCCAAAUAAACCUGUUUCCCGCAGUCCCUGGUAACGAACAGAAAAGGUGCUCAAGAACGGCAUAAAUGGCGGAUUCAAAUUCAAGGAACCUAAUAAGGUCAUGGAACUGUCAAAACAAUAAAACACUUACCAAAUAUGCGAUUCCCAUCUCCCGGUUCUACGAUAAUACGUAACGCCACGAUACUGCGAACUUCGAGGCCUUGGACCACGUCUGUUUUUCCUCAUCGCCUGAUCCUGUGGCUGCGCCGGUGCGCCGCCGUCUCCAUGAUUGAAUUCCGAUGGAGAAACCUCCGGCCACUGCAUCUGAGUACUCGAACUAGUAUUUAAUCCGUCGGUUAACGGGAAGAACUCCUUCGUUUGGUCGCGGUGGUCAUCGGAAAUAGAAUUUAAUCCGUCCGUUAACGGGAAGAGCUCUAUCGUCUGGUCGCAGUGGUCAUCGGAAAUAGAAAGUGAUUUCACCGUUGAGCUUUCUUGAACCGCGUAAUUUUUACCGAUAGUGAACGGGAAAACCUCGUCGACGUUGGUGGUGCUGGCGGAAGGAUCGCCAUUAACGACGGAGGACGAGUUGAAACAUCCAGCGGUUUCCAUUCUGUUCGCUGGAAAAUUCAGAAAACUCUCAGUAACCAUCUCCGAUGGAACAACGUCGUGGUUAAGAUUCAGCAUGAGCUUGAAACUUCACCUUCUGCAAAAAAAAAACAUGGAAAUCAAAGCAUAAUUGGAUUGUAAAGAAUCAAACCAUCACAACACUUCAGCUGUUACACAAUCAGAGGAUCAUUGUUGAAGAAACAAAGAGAAUAUGAAGAAGAAGACAAUAAGGGUGGAGAUGGGUCACCAGUAAACAGACUCCUGACUGCUUGAAUCAAUGAAGAGAGGAGAAUGAAGUCCAAAGAGAGUGGGUGAAGUUAAUUUAUUGAAGGUGGGAGCUCGAUUUCCAUGGCGGAUAGAGGCAGGAAAUUGAGAAAAGACGAGGUGGGGGUCACUAAAAAACUGCACUUCUCUUGUCUCUUUCUGUAGUUUGAAAGAAAUCAACGAAAACGUUUUAUUUUAAUUUAAUUUUGUUUUUAUUUUUA